This 102-nucleotide transfer RNA is filed under the name Sclerotinia borealis F-4128. It matches the Rfam family "tRNA". Rfam says of the family: Transfer RNA (tRNA) molecules are approximately 80 nucleotides in length. Their secondary structure includes four short double-helical elements and three loops (D, anti-codon, and T loops). Further hydrogen bonds mediate the characteristic L-shaped molecular structure. tRNAs have two regions of fundamental functional importance: the anti-codon, which is responsible for specific mRNA codon recognition, and the 3' end, to which the tRNAs corresponding amino acid is attached (by aminoacyl-tRNA synthetases). tRNAs cope with the degeneracy of the genetic code in two manners: having more than one tRNA (with a specific anti-codon) for a particular amino acid; and 'wobble' base-pairing, i.e. permitting non-standard base-pairing at the 3rd anti-codon position. Lineage: Eukaryota; Fungi; Ascomycota; Leotiomycetes; Helotiales; Sclerotiniaceae. The record is from Rfam by way of RNAcentral.
GGUCGCUUAGCUCAGCUGGUUAGAGCGUGGUGCUAAUAUCUACUCCGUAACAAGAGUUGUUUCCAAACGCCAAGGUCGUGAGUUCGAUCCUCAUAGUGAUCA